RNAcentral lists this ribosomal RNA (409 nucleotides) under uncultured Nitrososphaerota archaeon. RNAcentral describes it as "bacterial SSU rRNA". It matches the Rfam family "Archaeal small subunit ribosomal RNA", at positions 452 to 861 of the family's 1478-position model. Lineage: Archaea; Thermoproteati; Nitrososphaerota. The record is from RNAcentral.
CUGGUGUCAGCCGCCGCGGUAAUACCAGCUCCUCGAGUGGUCGGGGCGAUUAUUGGGCCUAAAGCAUCCGUAGCCUGUUCUGUAGGUCCGCUGUUAAAUCCAACGGCUUAACCGUUGGUCUGCAGCGGAUACCGCAGGACUAGGAGGCGGGAGAGGUGGACGGUACUCCACGUGUAGGGGUAAAAUCCUUUGAUCCGUGGAAGACCACCAGUGGCGAAGGCGGUCCACCAGAACGCGCUCGACGGUGAGGGAUGAAAGCUGGGGGAGCGAACCGGAUUAGAUACCCGGGUAGUCCCAGCCGUAAACGAUGCGAGCUAGAUGAUCCAGUCGCAAAUCGCGACUGGAGUGUCGCAGGGAAGCCGUUAAGCUCGCCGCCUGGGGAGUACGGUCGCAAGACUGAAACUUAAAG